AGUGAACGCUGGCGGUAGGCCUAACACAUGCAGGUCGAACGGCAGCACAGUAAGAGCUUGCUCUUACGGGUGGCGAGUGGCGGACGGGUGAGGAAUACAUCGGAAUCUACUUUUUCGUGGGGGAUAACGUAGGGAAACUUACGCUAAUACCGCAUAUGACCUACGGGUGAAAGCAGGGGAGCUUCGGACCUUGCGCGACUGAAUGAGCCGAUGCCGGAUUAGCUAGUUGGCGGGGUAAAGGCCCACCAAGGCAACGAUCCGUAGCUGGUCUGAGAGGAUGAUCAGCCACACUGGAACUGAGACACGGUCCAGACUCCUACGGGGGGCAGCAGUGGGGAAUAUUGGACAAUGGGCGAAAGCCUGAUCCAGCCAUGCCGCGUGGGUGAAGAAGGCCUUCGGGUUGUAAAGCCCUUUUGUUGGGAAAGAAAAGCAGCGGGUUAAUACCCCGCUGUUCUGACGGUACCCAAAGAAUAAGCAACGGCUAACUUCGUG
This 492-nucleotide ribosomal RNA is filed under the name uncultured bacterium. RNAcentral describes it as "partial 16S ribosomal RNA". It matches the Rfam family "Bacterial small subunit ribosomal RNA", at positions 29 to 507 of the family's 1533-position model. The record is from RNAcentral.